Gasterosteus aculeatus aculeatus (three-spined stickleback) is the source of this 1047-nucleotide long non-coding RNA. The record is from Ensembl. NCBI's taxonomy places the organism in Eukaryota, Metazoa, Chordata, Actinopteri, Perciformes, Gasterosteidae.
ACGGGAGCCUGACUGACAAGGGAGAAACUCCUGCAGGGACGAGGCAGCACGUUUAGCCCACAGAGGUGCAGUUCUGUCCCAGGAAACCCGAUGGCAAAAUCCCAUGACUGGAGGCGAGCUGAAGCAGACCCAUAUGAAUGUCCUUCCUUACAAACGCCCAUAAAAACCUUCACUCAGUGCAAUUAGAUUUAGACUAUACAUCAACACAUACAGGUUAGAUCAAUAAAAGUGACAAGCGCGUAUAUAGCUCGAGCCAGACGGGAGAGACGGCAACACCUUUUUAUAUUGUGAUUCAUUAAACCAUUAAUGAGGCAUUUUACAACGCGUCAGCUCGCCGAUGAUGGAAGACGAUUUAUUUAUUCAGACUCUACGAAAUGAUUCCCGAUACCUUGACUGCCGACUGUGAGGCCUUUAUCACAGACGGAGACUCACAGAUCACGCUAAAGCAAUAAACUGCACGGAAGAGGACGUUGAGUCUCGACAAGAGCAAAAGAAGGACGUUCCAUCGGACCCAUUUAUUGUAGUUCAAAUGAACAACUCCAAUCUGUGAAGAAAUGGACACAUUUGUUCAAAAAGGUGCCACGUAUAAAGCUUUCACCCGCAGGUGCUUUUAAAUAAUCCCGAAAAGGGGCCGAGGCCUCCUACAGUACGAGCCUUUCUGCUCAGCUGAUAACGAGUAUGAAAUGGCUCUGAUUUCCAUUAUUUCAGAGCACGGCGUGAAAGGCGAAUGUGAGACAAGCUGAAGGACAAUAAGACGAGAUCCAGGAGGAGAAGUAACCGGCUGGUUAUUCGUCUUCGGGCCCCGAGACAAGCUGCCUGGCGGCGCCGACAUUCGAUCCCCGGCGCGCCUGAUAGGGGCAGCGAGAAUUCUUAACUGCAUUGAUCACAAAAGGCUGUAACGCGACGCGGCUGGAGGAUCCGCAGAGGGCUGACGCGUCCGCGGAGGGUUGGCCCGGCGUUUGAUCUCGACAAGUGCAGAGCCAACAAGCAUUCAUCGUCGACACACCCGCACCGAAGGACUGUCGGCCACUGUGGGCUGAAAACGCA